ACGAUCAUUUUUGGAUUCUCUCUCUGGAGAGGAUUUCUCUCUCUCUGAACGGUUUUCUCUCGCUCUCUCACGCUCUCUCUCGGGGGGAGAAAAAUGGACUGUCUUCAUCUCUUGCUCGGCCCACAGCUCACGAGGAGAAAGGGGAAUCGAGGAGAAGAAGAUCGAUCGAUCGCCAUCACUCCUUCAACCGCCUCACGCGCGAUUUGAGUCGAUCGGGACUAUCGUCGGCGGCGAUGAUGACGACGACAAUGACAGCGGUAGUGACAGGAGGCUCGAUCAGUUAGGGUUUUCUUCCAUUGGUGUGAUCGAAGAAUCUCUGAUGAUCUCUUAAUCAAUUGCUUUCGGGAUUUGGAGAUCGGGAGCUCUGUUUUCGCUAAGAUUCUCUCCAGUUUUCGCUGGAUCUCUCGGUUCCGACGCUCUUGCCUUUUCGAGCCUUAGAAGGAGAGCAACUGUCAAACUGAGGAGCUCAAGGCGUGGGGCUCAGAUCCGAAGCUGACGGUAGUGAUGAUGAUCAACAGCGGAUUCGACAGCGGCGGCAAAAGCUUCCGAUCGUCUUCUCAUUUUGUUUUUCCAAUCUCUCUGUUCUGGUUUGGGCUCUCACUCGCUCGCUUGAUCAAUCGAAGAUUGGCGGUCAAGGAUCGCACGUGAGCUCUCUCUCUCGAUCCGUUAAGGUUUCGAUUUUUGUUCUCUCUUUGAAUCUGUUUGGGUUGUGGAUUCUGACUUCUCCCUCUCAAUCGCUCUCUCUGGUGAUCUUGCUCUCGGCUGAAUCUGACACUCUCGUCGCGGAUCGCGUCCUUCCGGAGCUCGAGGUGCAGGGAUUCGGACCUGCGCCGAGUUUGGAGGUCUCAACUCGGCUCCGAGGGCAGAACCAAAGAGUAGAUCUGCUGGUGUUCACGAAGACUAGAUCACUCGAUCAAGCAUCAAAGUUUCACAAACAAGUAAUGGCUCAUGACAAGGAUUAUGUCGCUAUCAUAGUUUGCUACGAUGGGGAAUUUGUGAUUGGGGAGGAUGAGUGGGAGUAUAAGGGUGGAAAUGAGGGCACCAUAUUUGUGGAUAUAAAGAAGGCAUCUUAUAUCGGAUUUCUUAGGGAUAUAAAGAUUUAUUUGCCUUAUAAAUUUUAGAAGCUGCUAUAUUGUAUUACUAGGAAAGACUUAAGUGAUGGUUUGAGAUGCUUAGAAGAUGAUAAUGGUCUUAGGGAUGUUCUAUACCAUUAUCUUCAUGGUGAAGAGGUAAAAAUAUUUGUUGAGUACAAUAGUGAAAGUGAGGAUGAAGAUGAUGAUGGAGAGAGCACCGGAGUAGGACAAGAAGGAGAUGGUAUUCAAGGUAGUACUGACAUUAGGGUCAAAGGAGGGCAGGAUAGAUAUGAUGGACAUGAGAGAAGCAUAGAUGUAGUUCACCGAAGUGAUGAUGACAUAGGUGAUGUCACAAUCUCUGGAUUAGAUUGGGAAGUAGCUGAAUCAACUGAUGAUGAUGAUGAUGGAGGGUUGCCUACUGAAAAUUUUAUAAGUGAUGACGACGACGAGGAGCUGAAUCAACUGAUGGAGGGUUGCACUUCUUUGAAUUGAUUAAGCUGAUGCCUCAGAUGAAUAUUACUCAAUUCAGGAUGUUGGUGAAGGAGCAAGUAGGCAUCAAUAUAUUCAAGAAUCAAUGUAAAAGACCGAAGCAAAAGGUGAUGAAGAUACUCAUUGGUUAGUACAACGGUGAAUACGGAUAGUUGUGGGACUAUGCUUGGGAGUGUAGACUACAAAAUCUUGGAAGUAGAGUGUAUGUAGAGGUUGUGGAAAUACCACUUCCUGAUAUUGGGACGAAGUUCGAUAAAUUAUAUGUUUACUUCGAUGCAUGCAGACGAGGAUUUUUAUCUAGUUGUAAACGGAUUAUAGGAUUGGACUGGUGUUUUUUGAAUGGCUUGUGCAAGGGAGAAUUGCUAGCCGCAAUUGGAAGAGAUGCAAACAACCAAAUGUUUCCCCUGGCUUGGGUUGUUGUGAAGGUAGAGAACAAGGACAAUUGGUCAUGGUUCCUCAAAAAUUUGAUGAAUGAUUUGGAGAUAACAAAUGGGGCAGGGUGGGCAUUCAUGAGCGACCAACAAAAGGGACCGGUUCUAGCAAUAGCCGAGUUGUUGCCUUAUGUUGAACAUCGAAUAUGUGCGCGGCACAUAUACGCAAAUUGGAUAAAGACCUAUAAAGGGGACAAGUUGCAAGCGCAAUUUUGGCAGCUAGCAAAGAGCAUGAAUAUGGCUGACUUUAGGAUGGCUAAAGAAGAGAUGCUUCAAUUGACAAAUGAUGGUUAUGAUGCACUGUCCCAAACAGACCCAAAGCAUUGAUGUAGGGCGUUCUUUAGCGAGGAAUUCAAGUGCGAUAACAUUGAUAACAACAUCUGCGAAUCAUUCAAUGGGAGGAUA
This is an RNA transcript of Eucalyptus grandis, 2398 nucleotides long. RefSeq lists it as uncharacterized. The transcript is spliced from 3 exons. NCBI's taxonomy places the organism in Eukaryota, Viridiplantae, Streptophyta, Magnoliopsida, Myrtales, Myrtaceae. The record is from RefSeq and is a predicted model, not a curated record.